Long non-coding RNA from Peromyscus leucopus (white-footed mouse), 1114 nucleotides. RefSeq lists it as uncharacterized. Lineage: Eukaryota; Metazoa; Chordata; Mammalia; Rodentia; Cricetidae. The transcript has 3 exons. The record is from RefSeq and is a predicted model, not a curated record.
CUCGCUCCAGGUCCAUGCGCACCUUCUUCUCCUGCUCCAGGGAUCCCUCCAGCUGGCGGAGAGAAGGACCAGCUAUGUGCCAUGAGGCACAAAGACAUCUUUCUUGAGGUCAAAAGGCCUGGUCUGCGCCUCCAGCCGCUCCUUCUCAGACUUGCGCAGGAAGGGGGCUGCAGCCCCAAACGCAGCCAUCUCCGCAUCCGCCAUGGCUGAGCCUGGGAGUGCUGUCUACCGAUCUGCCGUAUUUCUCAGGCCAGCAAAAUGUACAAUAUCACCGUGAGUGCGAUGAAGAGUGACUGCAGCGCCGGACCGCGGUCAGUGUGACGUCUUAAGGACGGUUUGAGGGUCCGGCUGGGUCCUGGGGGGAGGAGAGGCCAGAGGCCAGGAGACUGUAGCGGAGGUUAAAGCCUCAAUCAAAGUGGAGAGGUAUGAGAGGGAAAGGACCAGACCGGCAGGCAUUCCUAAGGAGGGGAUACAGUGCGCUUCAGCAGACCGGCUCCGGGAAAUCGGGAAGGAAAAAUCAUACGGGAGGGCAUCAGCAAGGAUGAGGGCGGGCACAAAGCGGGCAAGCCCUCGGACAGGCAGGAUAGAGACUCGGUGUGAGUGGGUUAGAGGUAACAAGGGACAACUGAUAGAACAUGUUUUGUGUCCCAGAAGGAGGUGAGAAUUGUGGCCUGGCAGGUAGGGCUGGCGGCUGAGAGCUGGUUACCUUAUGGUGGUGUGAGGUGCCAUGAGCUUGGAGACAAGAGGAAAGACUCAAGAGAGACCCACAGCCCAAGGAAGAAGGAAAGGAAAGAAGAAGCCCACAGAGACUAGACGGAGACGGUACGGUGAGCACAGUACUUGCCAGGGAAAUCUGAUGACCUGUGCUUGACCCCAGAGCCCACUUUAAAAAGCCGAGUGUGGGCUAGAGAGAUGGCUCAUUGAUGCUCUUGCAGAGGACUCAGGUCCUGGCACCCACGUGGCAACUCACAACCAUUCGUGACUUCAUUUCCAGGGGCCAACGCCCUCUUCUGGCCUCCAUGGGCACUGCAUGCCUGUGGUGCCCUGACAUCCAUGCAGAGCACACAUACAUACCAUACAUACACACACACACACACACACACACACACACACA